RNAcentral lists this unclassified non-coding RNA (195 nucleotides) under plant metagenome. Its description in RNAcentral is "partial contains small subunit ribosomal RNA, internal transcribed spacer 1, and 5.8S ribosomal RNA". The record is from RNAcentral.
UCUCCGUUGGUGAACCAGCGGAGGGAUCAUUACCGAGUUUACAACUCCCAAACCCCUGUGAACAUACCAUUUGUUGCCUCGGCGGUGCCUGCUUCGGCAGCCCGCCAGAGGACCCAAGCCCUUGAUUUUAUACAGUAUCUUCUGAGUAAAUGAUUAAAUAAAUCAAAACUUUCAACAACGGAUCUCUUGGUUCUG